AAUGAGUAGCGAGAAUUAUGUGGGAAUCAUAAUGGCCGAAAAUCUAAGGUUUCCUGGGGAAGGUUCGUCCGCCCAGGGUAAGCCGGGAGCUAAGGCGAGGCCGCAAGGCGUAGUCGAUGCACAUACGGUAGAAAUUCCGUAGCCGGUACAAUUGUUAAGCAUAGUGACACAUGAGCGCAGCACUACCGGGCGUUGGUUGCCCCGGGUGUAAACGAGUCGAAUGAGACGAAGUGUGCGAGGCUUGUGGCGAGAAAAGCUAUGUGGAUUGGUUGUACUGCCCGUACCGCAAACCGACACAGGUAGAUGAGGAGAAGAUCCUAAGGCCAUCGGGAGAAGGGUUGUUAAGGAACUAGGCAAAUUGACCCCGUAACUUCGGAAUAAGGGGUGCCUACGAAAGUAGGUCGCAGAGAAUCGGCCCAAGCAACUGUUUACCAAAAACACAGGUCUCUGCUAAAUCGAAAGAUGACGUAUAGGGGCUGACGCCUGCCCGGCGCUGGAAGGUUAGGAGGAGGACUUAGCGGAAACGCGAAGGUGCGAAUUUAAGCCCCAGUAAACGGCGGCCGUAACAAUAACGGUCCUAAGGUAGCGAAAUUCCUUGUCAGGUAAGUUCUGACCCGCACGAAAGGCGUAAUGAUUUGGGCACUGUCUCAACAGCCCGCCCGGCGAAAUUGUAGUACCGGUGAAGAUGCCGGUUACCCGCAACUAGACGGAAAGACCCCAUGGAGCUUUACUGCAGCUUAAUACUGAGAUUCGGUAAAUCAUGUACAGGAUAGGUGGGAGACUUGGAAGUCUGGUCGUCAGGCCAGAUGGAGUCGCCCUUGGGAUACCACCCUUGGUUUGCUGGAUUUCUAACCUGCGGCCCUGAAUCGGGUCGGGGGACACUGUUAGGCGGGCAGUUUGACUGGGGCGGUCGCCUCCUAAAAUGUAACGGAGGCGCUCAAAGGUUGGCUCAGCAUGGAUGGAAACCAUGCAAUGAGUGUAAACGUAUAAGCCAGCCUGACUGCGAGACCGACGGGUCGAGCAGAGACGAAAGUCGGAGUUAGUGAUCCGGUGGUAUGUGAGUGGAAAUGCCAUCGCUCAACGGAUAAAAGCUACCCUGGGGAUAACAGGCUGAUCUCCCCCAAGCGUCCACAGCGACGGGGAGGUUUGGCACCUCGAUGUCGGCUCGUCGCAUCCUGGGGCUGAAUUAGGUCCCAAGGGUUUGGCUGUUCGCCAAUUAAAGCGGCACGCGAGCUGGGUUCAGAACGUCGUGAGACAGUUCGGUCCCUAUCUGUUGCGGGCGUAGGAGAUUUGAAGGGAGCUGUCCUUAGUACGAGAGGACCGGGAUGGACGCACCUCUGGUGUACCAGUUGUUCUGCCAAGGGCACGGCUGGGUAGCUACGUGCGGACGAGAUAAACGCUGAAGGCAUCUAAGCGUGAAACUCCCCCUAAGAUAAGAUCUCCACUGAGGCUCGACGUAGACUAUGUCGUUGAUAGGUCAGAGGUGUAAGUGCCGAGAGGCAUUGAGCUGACUGAUACUAAUAAGCCGAAAGCUUGUC
RNAcentral lists this ribosomal RNA (1538 nucleotides) under metagenome. RNAcentral describes it as "bacterial LSU rRNA". It matches the Rfam family "Bacterial large subunit ribosomal RNA", at positions 1301 to 2925 of the family's 2925-position model. The record is from RNAcentral.